This is a long non-coding RNA of Mus musculus (house mouse), 297 nucleotides long. RefSeq annotates it as predicted gene, 38915. Lineage: Eukaryota; Metazoa; Chordata; Mammalia; Rodentia; Muridae. The record is from RefSeq and is a predicted model, not a curated record. The transcript is spliced from 4 exons.
GAGGCCAAACACUUAAAUUUUGGCCUUUUCCACAGAUCAUUCCAGCAUCAGCUCCAGGGUUUGGGGUGACUACAUUGUGCGUACAUGCUCAGCGAGGCCAUGAACUCCUCGGCUUGCUGCGGCUACUGAGUGCUGGGGUUGUCGGUGUGGAACUGCGCGCGAGCCUGUGAGAGUGUGCCUACGCUGCCUGCCCUUCCUGCGACCGGUUGAAACACAUGGGAAGAUAGGAGUGGGCAGACGAGUUGAGAAAUGCUUACUGACGUAAUUAAAAUGGAGAGACAAAUGCUAUUCUCAGCU